Molecule: ribosomal RNA, 484 nt
Filed under: uncultured Anaerolineaceae bacterium
Lineage: Bacteria; Bacillati; Chloroflexota; Anaerolineae; Anaerolineales; Anaerolineaceae
Description: bacterial SSU rRNA
Rfam family: Bacterial small subunit ribosomal RNA
Source: RNAcentral
CCUGCCAGCCCGCUCAGAACUCAAGGAAUUGACGGGACCGCACAAGCAGCGGAGCGUGUGGUUAAUUCGAUGCUACACGAAGAACCUUACCAAGGUUUGACAUGUAAGUGGUAGUGAUCUGAAAAGUGAACGACCCUUCGGGGAGCUUACACAGGUGCUGCAUGGCUGUCGUCAGCUCGUGUCGUGAGAUGUUCGGUUAAGUCCGCUAACGAGCGCAACCCUCACUGUGUGUUACAUGUGUCACACGGGACUGCCGGUUUUAGGCCGGAGGAAGGCGAGGAUGACGUCAAGUCAGCAUGGCCUUUAUAUCUUGGGCUACACACACGCUACAAUGGUCUGUACAAUAGGUUGCCAAGCCGCGAGGCGGAGCCAAUCCUUAAAGCAGGCCUCAGUUCAGAUUGCAGGCUGCAACCCGCCUGCAUGAAGAUGGAGUUGCUAGUAACCGCAGGUCAGCUAUACUGCGGUGAAUACGUUCCCGGGUCUU